GUACGGGAGGCAGCAGUUGGGAAUCUUCGGCAAUGGGCGAAAGCCUGACCGAGCAACGCCGCGUGAGUGAUGAAGGUCUUCGGAUUGUAAAGCUCUGUCUUCCGGGACGAUAAUGACGGUACCGGAGGAGGAAGCCACGGCUAACUACGUGCCAGCAGCCGCGGUAAUACGUAGGUGGCAAGCGUUGUCCGGAAUUACUGGGCGUAAAGGGCGCGUAGGUGGCCUGUCAAGUCAGAUGUGAAAUCCCCGGGCUUAACCCGGGAACUGCAUUUGAAACUGAUGGGCUUGAGGGCAGGAGAGGAAAGCGGAACUCCCAGUGUAGCGGUGAAAUGCGUAGAUAUUGGGAGGAACACCAGUGGCGAAGGCGGCUUUCUGGACUGUACCUGACACUGAGGCGCGAAAGCCAGGGGAGCGAACGGGAUUAGAUACCCCGGUAGG
RNAcentral lists this ribosomal RNA (438 nucleotides) under uncultured bacterium. Its description in RNAcentral is "bacterial SSU rRNA". It matches the Rfam family "Bacterial small subunit ribosomal RNA", at positions 339 to 794 of the family's 1533-position model. The record is from RNAcentral.